GCAUCGUCAGCUCAUCGGUAGAGCACUCGACUGAUAAUCGAGAGGCGGGUGGUUCGAUUCCACCACGAUGCACCA
Molecule: transfer RNA, 75 nt
Filed under: Acidithiobacillus thiooxidans
Lineage: Bacteria; Pseudomonadati; Pseudomonadota; Acidithiobacillia; Acidithiobacillales; Acidithiobacillaceae
Also listed under: 1 other name
Description: tRNA-Ile
Rfam family: tRNA
About the family: Transfer RNA (tRNA) molecules are approximately 80 nucleotides in length. Their secondary structure includes four short double-helical elements and three loops (D, anti-codon, and T loops).
Source: RNAcentral